UACGUAGGAGGCAAACGUUAUCCGGAUUUACUGGGCGUAAAGCGCGUGCAGGCGGUCUGGUAAGUUGGACGUGAAAGCUCCCGGCUCAACUGGGAGAGGUCGUUCAAUACUGUCAGACUUGAGGAUGGUAGAGGGAGGUGGAAUUCCAGGUGUAGUGGUGAAAUGCGCAGAUAUCUGGAGGAACACCAGUGGCGAAAGCGGCCUCCUGGACCAUUCCUGACGCUCAGACGCGAAAGCUAGGGUAGCAAACGGGAUUAGAGACCCCGGUAGUCCUAGCUGUAAACGAUGUGAACUUGGCGUCGGUGGGAUUAAAUCCAUCGGUGUCGAAGCUAACGCGAUAAGUUCACCGCCUGAGGACUACGGCCGCAAGGUUAAA
Molecule: ribosomal RNA, 376 nt
Filed under: uncultured bacterium
Lineage: Bacteria
Description: bacterial SSU rRNA
Rfam family: Bacterial small subunit ribosomal RNA
Source: RNAcentral